AUGCCCUCAUUUUUGUCUCUACUCUGUAUUUUUCUCAUCCUUUUCUCCUUCAACACUACAACACUCGAAGCAGCGCAAGAAAACAAGUCCGAGAUUGAUCGCCAGGCCCUCCUUUGCUUCAAGUCCGGCAUCAAUUCUUAUCCCCUUGGCAUCCUAGAUUCAUGGAGUGAUGACUCACUUAACUUUUGCAGCUGGAAAGGGGUCAUUUGCGGCACAAAGUUUCCACCCCGUGUGGUCUCACUUAACCUCACCUCCGCUCGUCUCAGUGGGCAAAUAUCUGGAUGUGUAGGCAACUUGACUUUUCUAUCCUCGAUGAACCUUGCCAAUAAUGAUCUGUCGGGAACCAUCCCUGAAGAGUUGGGUAAGCUCCCAAACCUCCAUACGCUGAAUCUUGCCAAUAAUAGUCUGACCGGUGGUAUCCCUCUCUCAUUGACCAAUUGUUCCUCACUCAGCACACUUAUACUGUCUCGUAAUAAUCUCUCCGGAGAGAUCCCUUCUACUUUGUUUGAUAACUUAUCUAAGCUUACUAAGGUUGAUCUCCAGAAGAAUUCUUUCACUGGACUCAUCCCACAUUUCCAUAAGGUCACAGCACUCAAAUUUCUUUGCCUGACAGAGAACUUCCUCUCUGGAAGCAUACCUCCUUCAAUAGGAAAUGUUUCUUCCCUGACAUCUAUAUUGCUCGGCCAAAAUAAGCUAUCAGGAUUAAUUCCAGAAACUAUAGGUCACACUAUAAAACUACUUGAGCUUGACCUAAGUUCCAACAGUUUAUCAGGUAAUGUCCCGGUUUCUCUUUAUAACAUGUCAUCACUCAAAAACUUUAGUGUUGGUAGCAAUGCCCUUGUUGGACAGUUACCAUCUAACAUUGGUUACUCGCUACCAAACCUCCAGUCCCUAAUCCUGGGAAGCAACAGGCUGGAGGGCCUGAUCCCUGCUUCACUAGCCAACAUGUUAAAUCUUCAAAUACUUGAUCUUUCAAACAACUCGUUACAUGGCUCUGUGCCAUCUCUUGGUUCGUUGGCAAACUUGCGUCAGUUAGUUUUAGGGGGGAACUUGCUAGAAGCACAUGAUUGGUCAUUUCUUACAUCUCUGGCAAGUUGCACCCAGCUGACAAAAUUGUCCUUGGAAGGGAAUGCUCUGAAUGGCAGCUUACCUGUAGCAGUUGUUAAUCUUUCCACAACACUACAAGAUUUAUCGCUUGCGUCAAACCAAAUUUCGGGCUCGAUACCUGUUGAGAUUAGCAAUCUUGUUAAUCUCACUUCACUUAGGAUGGAAAGCAAUUUUCUUUCUGGAAGCAUACCUUCUACCAUUGGGAAGCUGCAAUACCUAUAUAUCCUAAGUCUAUCAAACAACAAAUUAUCAGGUCUGAUCCCUCCCUCGGUUGGUGACAUUACUCAACUAGGCAAGCUUUAUCUUAGUGAUAACAAGUUGACUGGUAACAUACCUGGUAGUCUAGGUCAGUGCAAGGGACUUCUUGAACUCAACUUGUCUCGAAACAAUCUCAAUGGGUCAAUACCAGUCGAACUCUUUGCUAACCCUCCAUUUUCCUUCGGUCUGGACUUCUCACACAACAAUCUCACUGGGGAACUGCCAUUGGAACUUGGUACACAUGGUGCUGGUGAUGGUCCAACAUCCCUUCACAUGGAAGGAAACAAGUUUCAUGGACAAAUUCCAGCAGGAUGGCAGUUAGCAUCAACCCUGCAGAUUAAUCUUUCUCACAAUGACUUAUCCGGUUAUGUGCCUAUAUUAUUUGGGGACCUUCCUAAGCUGGAGCAACUCGAUCUAUCCUACAACAACUUGGAAGGGGAAAUUCCUAUAAGUGGGAUCUUUGGGAAUUCUGCCGCAGUAGUUUUGGAUGGAAACAAGGGACUAUGUUCGAAUUCCCUGAGGCUAGCAUUUCCAAUUUGUCCUCGCAUCUCAUCUUCAGCAACUAAAACAAAGCGCCAUCUGUCCUUGCUGGCAACCUUGCUGCUAAUUGUACUACCAUCACUUACUAUUUGUUUCCUAGUAUUGUCAUGGCUUAUGUUCACUCUUUGGGAUAGAGGGGUAUUAUUCACUCUUUUGAAGAAAGCGGUUUUAUCAUUUUCACCACCGGAUGUUUUGUCCAAGAUGUUUCGCUUUUUUGCCCACCACAAGCAAAGAGAAGUGCAUACAUUUUCGUCCAAUGAGGAGAAGCUAAAAAGAGUGUCAUACCGUGACAUCCUUCAAGCUACUGAUUGGUUUUCACCAAACCACAAAAUAAGCUCAACCUGCACUGGAUCAGUCUAUGUUGGGAGGUUCAAGUUUGAGAAUGAUUUAGUGGCUAUCAAAGUAUUCAACCUGAAUGAACCUGGUGCCAAUGAAAGUUUCUUUGCCGAGUGCCAAGUGCUACGGAGCACACGCCAUCGAAACAUUCUCAAGUGUGUGACCUCAUGCUCGACGUUGGACACAGAAAACAAUGAGUUCAAAGCACUAGUCUACCAGUUCAUGGCUAAUGGCAGCCUUGAAAGAUGGCUUCACCCUGAGCAACACAAUGGCACACCAAGUAGAACCCUAAGCUUAGGGCUGAGGAUAUGCAUAGCCGUGGAUGUGGCCUCUGCUCUCGAUUAUCUUCACAACGAACCGACGCCAUCUUUGAUGCAUUGUGAUUUGAAGCCAAGCAACAUUCUUUUAGAUUACGAUAUGACUGCACGUAUUGGCGACUUCGGUUCAUCAAAGUUUCUGUCGCCAGUUUUGGGUAGUCUGGAACACUUGAUCAGUUUCCGAGGAACAAUUGGAUACAUGGCACCUGAGUAUGGAAUGGGUUGCCAGAUCUCGGCAGGAGGUGAUGUCUAUAGUUUUGGAGUGAUUCUACUGGAGUUGCUUACCGGAAAACGACCAACCGAUGAUAUGUUCGUGGAUGGGCUUAGCCUUUGUAAGUUUUGUGAAUCCAUGUUCCCAGACAGAAUUGCAGAGAUUCUAGAUCCUCAUAUGGCGCAUGAGGAGUACCAACGGUGCGAAGAAGUGGACGCGGAAGCAUGGAUGCAGCAAUAUAUUGUCCCGCUGGUUGCCCUAGGGCUGUCAUGUACCGUGGAAUCUCCCAAGGAUAGGCCUGGAAUGAAAGAUGUUUAUGCAAAACUAUCUGCUAUCAGAAGCUCUUUUCUGGAACGUCGUGAUGAUUGA
RNAcentral lists this ribosomal RNA (3138 nucleotides) under Triticum aestivum (bread wheat). RNAcentral's name for it is "partial small subunit ribosomal RNA". Lineage: Eukaryota; Viridiplantae; Streptophyta; Magnoliopsida; Poales; Poaceae. The record is from RNAcentral.